RNAcentral lists this ribosomal RNA (63 nucleotides) under Caerostris darwini. The record is from RNAcentral. Lineage: Eukaryota; Metazoa; Arthropoda; Arachnida; Araneae; Araneidae.
CCGAAGUCAAGCAUCAUUGGGCGUGGUCAGUACUUGGGUGGGUGACCACCUGGGAAAAUUUGG